GGUAACAGAAAGUAGCUUGCUACUUUGCUGACGAGCGGCGGACGGGUGAGUAAUGCUUGGGAACAUGCCUUGAGGUGGGGGACAACAGUUGGAAACGACUGCUAAUACCGCAUAAUGUCUACGGACCAAAGGGGGCUUCGGCUCUCGCCUUUAGAUUGGCCCAAGUGGGAUUAGCUAGUUGGUGAGGUAAUGGCUCACCAAGGCGACGAUCCCUANACUGGUUUGAGAGGAUGAUCAGCCACACUGGGACUGAGACACGGCCCAGACUCCUACGGGAGGCAGCAGUGGGGAAUAUUGCACAAUGGGCGCAAGCCUGAUGCAGCCAUGCCGCGUGUGUGAAGAAGGCCUUCGGGUUGUAAAGCACUUUCAGUCAGGAGGAAAGGUUAGUAGUUAAUACCUGCUAGCUGUGACGUUACUGACAGAAGAAGCACCGGCUAACUCCGUGCCAGCAGCCGCGGUAAUACGGAGGGUGCGAGCGUUAAUCGGAAUUACUGGGCGUAAAGCGUACGCAGGCGGUUUGUUAAGCGAGAUGUGAAAGCCCCGGGCUCAACCUGGGAACUGCAUUUCGAACUGGCAAACUAGAGUGUGAUAGAGGGU
This 597-nucleotide ribosomal RNA is filed under the name marine bacterium SIMO-4453. Its description in RNAcentral is "bacterial SSU rRNA". It matches the Rfam family "Bacterial small subunit ribosomal RNA", at positions 68 to 659 of the family's 1533-position model. The record is from RNAcentral.